CCUACGGGUGGCAGCAGUGAGGAAUAUUGGUCAAUGGACGCAAGUCUGAACCAGCCAAGUAGCGUGCAGGAUGACGGCCCUCCGGGCUGUAAACUGCUUUUAGUUGGGAAUAAAAGGGGGCUCGUGAGUCCCGUAUGGUAUGUAUUACCAGAAAAGGGACUGGCUAAUUCCGUGCUAGCAGCCGCGGGAAUACGGAGGGUCCGGGCGUUAUCCGGAUUUAUGGGGUUUCAAGGGAGCGUAGGCGGGCUUUUAAGUCAGCUGUGAAAGUCCGCGGCUCAACCGUGGAAUGGCAGUGGAAACGGGGGGCCUUGGGUGAACACAGGGAUGCCGGAAUUCAUGGUGUGGCGGUGAAAUGGUUGGAUAUCAGGAAGAACUCCGAGCGCGAGGGCAAGGGUCCGGGGUGCAACUGACGCUGAGGCUCGAAAGUGCGGGUAUCAAACAGGAUUAGAUACCCCAGUAGUC
RNAcentral lists this ribosomal RNA (462 nucleotides) under uncultured bacterium. Its description in RNAcentral is "partial 16S ribosomal RNA". It matches the Rfam family "Bacterial small subunit ribosomal RNA", at positions 338 to 795 of the family's 1533-position model. The record is from RNAcentral.